UCCGUUUUGACACCGGCAGUCUCGCUAGAGUCCCCAGCAUGACCUGUUGGCAACUAACGAUAGGGGUUUCGCUCGUUAGGGGACUUAACCCAACACCUCACGACACGAGCUGACGACAGCCAUGCACCACCUGUGCAGGGACUCCGAAGAGGGGCCCCGGUUUCUCGAGGCUUUCCCCUGCAUGUCAAGCCCAGGUAAGGUUCUUCGCGUUGCGUCGAAUUAAACCACAUGCUCCACCGCUUGUGCGGGCCCCCGUCAAUUCCUUUGAGUUUUAAUCUUGCGACCGUACUCCCCAGGCGGUCUACUUCACGCGUUAGCUGCGUUACCAAGUUAAUUAAAACCCGACAACUAGUAGACAUCGUUUAGGGCGUGGACUAC
Molecule: unclassified non-coding RNA, 378 nt
Filed under: uncultured bacterium
Lineage: Bacteria
Description: contains 16S-23S intergenic spacer region
Source: RNAcentral